Molecule: long non-coding RNA, 404 nt
Organism: Monopterus albus (swamp eel)
Lineage: Eukaryota; Metazoa; Chordata; Actinopteri; Synbranchiformes; Synbranchidae
Exons: 2
Source: RefSeq, a predicted model, not a curated record
UGUUAUUUUGAACUGGUGACGGAGGAGUGUCUUAUGUUUUUGUUUUCUAAACUGAUUUGUUUUUUGAACUGUUGCCUGGUGCCGCCUAUAUCUCCGUGGGCCUUGCUGCCGAGCGACGAUCGUUGGUUGGGGUCCGUAUCAAGUGCCUGGGUCAGUGAAGCGUGGGCGCUUGUUCCUGUCUGCAUAGCUCGGCGCUGGGUUCUAAACACGCUCUCCAGCCCGGAGCCAGCAUUCCCCUAUACGCAGUGCCAAAACCUCUCUCCGACCCCGGGCGGCUCCUCCAGUGGUCCAGUCAUUUCAGCGGCCCCAAAUGCCCGAGACCCACGCCGGCAGCUCCGCGUCUGAUCCUCGCCACCUCCUUUCCUUUCCAUACUCUGUCAAAUAAAUAUCUUUCUCUGACCUGA